Molecule: ribosomal RNA, 441 nt
Filed under: uncultured bacterium
Lineage: Bacteria
Description: partial 16S ribosomal RNA
Rfam family: Bacterial small subunit ribosomal RNA
Source: RNAcentral
CUACGGGUUGCUGCAGUCAAGAAUCUUCCGCAAUGCACGAAAGUGUGACGGAGCAAUGCCGCGUGCUCGAAGAAGGCCCUCGGGUCGUAAAGAGCUUUUAUAAGGGAAGAACAAAUGACGGUACCUUAUGAAUAAGGGGCUGCUAAUCACGUGCCAGCAGCAGCGGUAAUACGUGAGCCCCGAGCGUUAUCCGGAUUUAUUGGGCGUAAAGGGUCCGUAGGUGGUUUCGUAAGUCAUAUGUUAAAUCUUCAGGCUCAACCUGGAGGCUGCGUGUGAUACUGCGAGACUAGAGGAUGGGAGAGGCAGAUGGAAUUGCUGGUGUAGCGGUAAUAUGCGUUAAUAUCAGCAAGAACACCAAAGGCGAAGGCAAUCUGCUGGAACAUUCCUGACACUGAGGGACGAAAGCGUGGGUAGCGAAUGGGAUUAGAUACCCCAGUAGUC